CACUAGGUAAUAUUCAGCUCUCACUCGCGCUUGUGACGGCCUUCUUCUGUUUACAUAAGUCAUCCAAACAGACAUUUUUAAGAAGCUUAAUAAUAUAAAUUUUUGCUUUAAUAAGAGAGACCAAAAGAAAACAAAACACAAUAAUUGAUGUAACUUAUGCCGCCUUUGCCGUAUAUUCAAAACGAACGAAUGAUCAAACUACGUAAAGAACGAAUAACCAGCCAGCCAACGGAGAACGGACACGGACACGGCUGAGAAAAUAAAUUUUCUAUUUCGAUUUCGGAUAAAAUAAAAACUGUGCUAACGCACAUCGAAAAUAAGUGUGUGCGCAGGAGGCUCAUUAUAUUUAGAGGGCAGAAGAGCCACCUCCUUAUCUAAUUUAGAAAAUUUCAAUUCAACACUGUGUUCGGCUGUGGUGAGUAUUUUUAAUACAAAAAUGCCAAGUGCCAAGAGCAACACGUCAAUGUGAUGCGUAAGCAGUGACAAAACCAAAAACAAUUUUUUUUUCUUAAAUAAUAAAUAAAUUGAAAAUCGUGCGCGAUUAUAGAAAUAGGUGUCUCCGGAAAGUGGUCACAGGAAAAUCAUCACUUGUUUAUUUUAUUUUUGAAAUUUUUACUUACAAUAUAUUGAAAUGAAGUAGUGCUUGUGUACGUUGUAUGGAUAGUUUUGAGUCAUGUUAAGUAUUCGUAAAGAAAAAGGUGAUUUCAUCAAUGAAUUGUUGAGAAAGCUCGAGUUGCAGUGUGUGGAAGAGCGAAAUAAAAUGUAAAUAAAUUGCAGUAAAAUGUCGUUGGUACAGGAAAUACGAAACGUGUUAGUUUUAAAUAAAGAUAUGAGUCGCAAAUUGUUUAAAAGUACAAUUUUGUGCACAUUCUUUUAUAUUAUUCAUCAAAAUCUGUAUUUGGUUCUUAUAAAUCUUUAAAAAUCUCACGCAUAUCA
This is a long non-coding RNA of Eupeodes corollae, 936 nucleotides long. RefSeq lists it as uncharacterized. NCBI's taxonomy places the organism in Eukaryota, Metazoa, Arthropoda, Insecta, Diptera, Syrphidae. The transcript has 3 exons. The record is from RefSeq and is a predicted model, not a curated record.